RNAcentral lists this unclassified non-coding RNA (349 nucleotides) under soil metagenome. RNAcentral's name for it is "partial contains 5.8S ribosomal RNA, internal transcribed spacer 2, and large subunit ribosomal RNA". The stretch from base 1 to 120 matches the Rfam family "5.8S ribosomal RNA", at positions 35 to 154 of the family's 154-position model. The record is from RNAcentral.
GAUGAAGAACGCAGCGAAAUGCGAUAACUAAUGUGAAUUGCAGAAUUCCGUGAAUCAUCGAGUCUUUGAACGCACAUUGCGCCCCCUGGUAUUCCGGGGGGCAUGCCUGUCCGAGCGUCAUUGCUGCCCAUCAAGCACGGCUUGUGUGUUGGGUCCUCGUCCCCCCCGGGGGACGUGCCCGAAAGGCAGCGGCGGCACCGCGUCCGGUCCUCGAGCGUAUGGGGCUUUGUCACCCGCUCUGCAGGCCCGGCCGGCGCUGGCCGACGCGAAAGCAACCAUUUUUUCUCCAAGUUGACCUCGGAUCAGGUAGGGAUACCCGCUGAACUUAAGCAUAUCAAUAAGCGGAGGA